Anolis carolinensis (green anole) is the source of this 97-nucleotide microRNA precursor. Ensembl annotates it as aca-mir-130a-2. Its record names the gene aca-mir-130a-2. Lineage: Eukaryota; Metazoa; Chordata; Lepidosauria; Squamata; Anolidae. The record is from Ensembl.
CACGAGGUGUCUGUCCACUGCCCUUUUUAUGUUGUACUACUAGUGAACAUGCGCAAAAAGCAGUGCAAUGUUAAAAGGGCAUUGGCCAGCAAUGCUC